CUCUUAGCAUCCUCGCGACUAAUGACAAAUCUUGUCCUGCAGAUGGCCAGAUAAGAUUUCUCAUUAGCCGCGCGAAUCGUGCGUAUAAAGAUCACUCACGUUAACAAUACAUGAGUUUUAACAGAAAUACUGCCAGUCGCCCGAAAAAAGGGGCCAUAAAGGCCCCCUUUU
This 171-nucleotide small RNA is filed under the name Tatumella morbirosei. RNAcentral describes it as "SraG RNA". It matches the Rfam family "SraG RNA". Rfam says of the family: This RNA was discovered in E. coli during a large scale screen. Evidence was found for specific cleavage of this RNA. Lineage: Bacteria; Pseudomonadati; Pseudomonadota; Gammaproteobacteria; Enterobacterales; Erwiniaceae. The record is from Rfam by way of RNAcentral.